UGCAUCUGUAGCCCAUGAGGAAGAGAACCUCCGGGGGGCAGGGAGGUUCGACUCGAGCGAAGCGAGAGAACGUUGCGCCAGCAACGGCCCGCAGGGCGAGCCACGAAGUGGCGAGUAAUCCUCUAUCACCGACCA
Molecule: small RNA, 135 nt
Filed under: Escherichia coli
Lineage: Bacteria; Pseudomonadati; Pseudomonadota; Gammaproteobacteria; Enterobacterales; Enterobacteriaceae
Description: RtT sRNA
Rfam family: RtT RNA
About the family: This family represents a bacterial cis-regulatory element known as RtT RNA.
Source: RNAcentral